UGACUUCCACACCCUUGCUGAAGCGCUUGUUGUUGUCUGCCAAGAACCAAAGGGCUGAUGAACCAUCACUGGAAUCACCAGAGUGGGACAGUGAUAUGGCAUCCAUCCUCCUCCUUCUGCACCUCCUGUCACCCCAGCCUGCGGGAAGGAAGAAAACCCAGAAGAUCAGUGUAGCUCAGGCCAUUGACCAUCUGGUCAUAUUUCACAAGUCCUGUAGGAGUCUGGAUGAGCACCUUCAGAGCCAUAUCGACAGCCAUAUCUUCUUGCUUCAGGGACCAGCAAGGAGGCCAUCGGCAUUUUCUUCAUUGUGAUCGACAAGAAGCUCAUCCCCUGUGAGGCUACUUCCUUAGCAGCAAUUGAUGA
This is a long non-coding RNA of Gymnodraco acuticeps, 363 nucleotides long. RefSeq lists it as uncharacterized. The transcript has 3 exons. Lineage: Eukaryota; Metazoa; Chordata; Actinopteri; Perciformes; Bathydraconidae. The record is from RefSeq and is a predicted model, not a curated record.